RNAcentral lists this ribosomal RNA (783 nucleotides) under uncultured bacterium. Its description in RNAcentral is "bacterial SSU rRNA". It matches the Rfam family "Bacterial small subunit ribosomal RNA", at positions 8 to 796 of the family's 1533-position model. The record is from RNAcentral.
AGAGUUUGAUCCUGGCUCAGGACGAACGCUGGCGGCGUGCUUAACACAUGCAAGUCGAACGGAAAGGCCCUUCGGGGUACUCGAGUGGCGAACGGGUGAGUAACACGUGGGUGAUCUGCCCUGCACUUUGGGAUAAGCCUGGGAAACUGGGUCUAAUACCGAAUAUGACCAUGCGCCUCCUGGUGUGUGGUGGAAAGCUUUUGCGGUGUGGGAUGGGCCCGCGGCCUAUCAGCUUGUUGGUGGGGUGAUGGCCUACCAAGGCGACGACGGGUAGCCGGCCUGAGAGGGUGUCCGGCCACACUGGGACUGAGAUACGGCCCAGACUCCUACGGGAGGCAGCAGUGGGGAAUAUUGCACAAUGGGCGCAAGCCUGGUGCAGCGACGCCGCGUGGGGGAUGACGGCCUUCGGGUUGUAAACCUCUUUCACCAUUGACGAAGGUUCGGGUUUUCUCGGAUCGACGGUAGGUGGAGAAGAAGCACCGGCCAACUACGUGCCAGCAGCCGCGGUAAUACGUAGGGUGCGAGCGUUGUCCGGAAUUACUGGGCGUAAAGAGCUCGUAGGUGGUUUGUCGCGUUGUUCGUGAAAUCUCACGGCUUAACUGUGAGCGUGCGGGCGAUACGGGCAGACUAGAGUACUGCAGGGGAGACUGGAAUUCCUGGUGUAGCGGUGGAAUGCGCAGAUAUCAGGAGGAACACCGGUGGCGAAGGCGGGUCUCUGGGCAGUAACUGACGCUGAGGAGCGAAAGCGUGGGGAGCGAACAGGAUUAGAUACCCUGGUAGUCC